Meriones unguiculatus (Mongolian gerbil) is the source of this 1318-nucleotide long non-coding RNA. RefSeq lists it as uncharacterized. Lineage: Eukaryota; Metazoa; Chordata; Mammalia; Rodentia; Muridae. The transcript has 2 exons. The record is from RefSeq and is a predicted model, not a curated record.
UUAAGCAGUUUGCCUGAGAUCCACAUCUGUAUCAGAUGCUCAACCUCAUAGACCCUUAAAGCCUCUGACAGCAAUGACACCUUGACCCAGCUUUGAGAAGAGGUGGCAACUUCCAGACAAAAUCUCCAUGAGUAUCUUUACUAUGGGGCACGCAGCCUGGCUACCCAGUGAGAACAAACAACAUCUGGAGCAGAGUUUAUGAAAAUGAGCCAAUUCUACACUUGGGGAGUACGAAAUGUUUGUUAAGAAGUCAGUAUUCACUGGCCAAAUUGAGCUUGCUUUCUAUUUUAAACCAUUUGUCCCUCUUCCUUCUGUUGGUACCAAGUAUCUGCCGUUGCCUUGGAAAAUAAGCACAUUGCUUUUGGAUAUCUGACCUUGCAGAGUGGAUAUCAGGCCAAAGAGCUUAUUUUUCUGGCUAGGUUUAAUCCAGAGGAAACCUGUUAGGCUGCUGAGAUGCUUGGCCUGUGGCAUUUCUGCUCUGACUGACAAUCACAUCAUAUUCAGAAGCUCCCAAAUCUUCCUAUGGACUGUAAAUGGUCUACAGAAGUUAGAGAUAAAGAGAAUAGAAAUAUAGCUCUUCUUAAGUCAGGCCGCCCAGUUAUUUCAACAGUGUUGGGAGUAGGUAAUGUUGUCUCCAUUGUACAAAUAGGAAACCCAUGGUUUACAGAAGCUAAGUUUUUGGACAGAGUCAUAUGGCCAAACGCAGGACAGAACCAGGUUUAAGUUCCAAGGCCUCUGAUUAACAUCCUCCCGUACUUUGUAAAAGUGUCAUUACCCAUCCUUUGCUGGAUGUUGGCUAUUUCCCCUGAAAUAGAGACAGCUUCAGUGGCAGAACAUGUUUGAUCCCAGAGUUUAAUCAGCCCUAUCACAUAAAAAAUAACUAUGAAAAAGAAGAAAUGAGCCUAAACUUAAGUGGGAAAAUCUCUUAAAAUUCAUACUUCAAACUCCUUCUAUGAAGCUGUAGCACAAGUUACAUGGGAUCACAUGAUGACCUAGGGGCAGGUCUGGAAAAAGAGCACGGACUCAUAGCCACCAUGUGCCCUUAGUUAUCUGCCAUCAGUGAAAAUGCAUAGCAGCAGGACAUGGCACAUUUUGUUUCUGAAUUCAAAAGAGAAAGUUCCAGAAACUACGGCUCAUUAUUGGAUACCGAUUUGUUUCCAAUUCGGGAAUAAAAUUUAAAGUACCUGGUUUGUAAGCCUUUGGAAAAAGAACUGGUCCACGUAUUCAGUAUCAGUGACCAGGAUUGAAGGUCACAAAGCUGGUGCUUUAGAUUACUGAAAAAUAUACUGUAUAUUGUAUAAACAACUUUUUAAACUAA